Molecule: long non-coding RNA, 419 nt
Organism: Acipenser ruthenus (sterlet)
Lineage: Eukaryota; Metazoa; Chordata; Actinopteri; Acipenseriformes; Acipenseridae
Exons: 3
Source: RefSeq, a predicted model, not a curated record
UGGAGCAGUUCUGCCAUGUGGUCGGGGCUGAAACGCAAGCCUGGAUUUGCCAGCACAACCCCACUACCCUGGAUCAAGCCGUGACGUUGGCCGAAAAUUUUGAGGACACCCUCAUGUCCGCCCACGCCACCCUGCUGAACUACCCCUCUCCCUCCGUUGCCAAACCACCAUCGAACACAUCGCCAGAUACUGUCCGGCAGCCAUGGAGUGCGACGUGGCUGCGUGUCACCUGGCAUCGGAGACAGGGGUCACUGUUCGGGAGAGGCCCUACCGGAUCCCAGAAAGCCGGCGGAGUGGCGUCCAGAACGAGAUCUCCCUUCUGACCGGUGAGGGCACUGGGGAGGAGGAGCAGGCGGAGCCGCGGUACGCAACGUCACAGACCCGGUCGGGAAGCGCGGUGGCAAUCACGCAUUGGCUGA